CAGUAGCCGCGGUAAAACGAAGGGGGCUAGCGUUGUUCGGAAUUACUGGGCGUAAAGCGCACGUAGGCGGACAUUUAAGUCAGGGGUGAAAUCCCGGGGCUCAACCCCGGAACUGCCUUUGAUACUGGGUGUCUAGAGUAUGGAAGAGGUGAGUGGAAUUCCGAGUGUAGAGGUGAAAUUCGUAGAUAUUCGGAGGAACACCAGUGGCGAAGGCGGCUCACUGGUCCAUUACUGACGCUGAGGUGCGAAAGCGUGGGGAGCAAACAGGAUUAGAUACCCCAGUAGUCCCUGUCUCUUAUAC
RNAcentral lists this ribosomal RNA (301 nucleotides) under uncultured bacterium. Its description in RNAcentral is "partial 16S ribosomal RNA". It matches the Rfam family "Bacterial small subunit ribosomal RNA", at positions 509 to 807 of the family's 1533-position model. The record is from RNAcentral.